UAGGGANNCNUNNNNAAUGGGGGCNNNCCUGANCGAGCAACGCCGCGUGAGUGAAGAAGGUUUUCGGAUCGUAAAGCUCUGUUGUAAGUCAAGAACGAGUGUGAGAGUGGAAAGUUCACACUGUGACGGUAGCUUACCAGAAAGGGACGGCUAACUACGUGCCAGCAGCCGCGGUAAUACGUAGGUCCCGAGCGUUGUCCGGAUUUAUUGGGCGUAAAGCGAGCGCAGGCGGUUUGAUAAGUCUGAAGUUAAAGGCUGUGGCUCAACCAUAGUUCGCUUUGGAAACUGUCAAACUUGAGUGCAGAAGGGGAGAGUGGAAUUCCAUGUGUAGCGGUGAAAUGCGUAGAUAUAUGGAGGAACACCGGUGGCGAAAGCGGCUCUCUGGUCUGUAACUGACGCUGAGGCUCGAAAGCGUGGGGAGCGAACAGGAUUAGAUACCCUGGUAGUCCACGCCGUAAACGAUGAGUGCUAGGUGUUGGAUCCUUUCCGGGAUUCAGUGCCGCAGCUAACGCAUUAAGCACUCCGCCUGGGGAGUACGACCGCAAGGUUG
This 550-nucleotide ribosomal RNA is filed under the name uncultured bacterium. Its description in RNAcentral is "bacterial SSU rRNA". It matches the Rfam family "Bacterial small subunit ribosomal RNA", at positions 355 to 896 of the family's 1533-position model. The record is from RNAcentral.